RNAcentral lists this ribosomal RNA (253 nucleotides) under uncultured bacterium. RNAcentral describes it as "partial 16S ribosomal RNA". It matches the Rfam family "Bacterial small subunit ribosomal RNA", at positions 524 to 776 of the family's 1533-position model. The record is from RNAcentral.
UACGUAGGGUGCAAGCGUUGUCCGGAAUUAUUGGGCGUAAAGAGCUCGUAGGCGGUCUGUCGCGUCUGCUGUGAAAACUCGGGGCUUAACCCCGGGCCUGCAGUGGGUACGGGCAGACUAGAGUGCGGUAGGGGAGACUGGAAUUCCUGGUGUAGCGGUGAAAUGCGCAGAUAUCAGGAGGAACACCGGUGGCGAAGGCGGGUCUCUGGGCCGUAACUGACGCUCAUGCACGACAGCGUGGGGAUCAAACAGG